GUCAAAGCCUAUAUAAAAAAUCUAGCCUCAAAACUUGAUAAAUAAUGAGUUUUAUCUUUCAGAACACAAUGGGUUAGUUGCUUCCUUCUAACCUGAAAUUGUGUUUCUUUCUCCAGAUAAUUGUGAUUGUUGUGAUUCCUCUAAAUAGUUCCGGGCUCGUAUCCGUGCUUUAAACCAGGUGAAAAAUUGCAAAUGUCUAAAAUGAGCUUAAAUGAUAUCCUGACUUCUCACAAAUCUCUCAACAUAAUUCUCAUGCUAGGCUGGCACGAGUACCGUUGAUAUAUAACCUCAACUUGCUCCGCUGACUCGCGGAGAAAUUCUACUGAUCUUCAACAUGCAGAUAUCUCCCCUGCGUGUUUGACUCCUGAGAUGGUUCCGUUCUCUUCUAAUCUGAGUUGGUUCAGUUCUCUUCUACUCCCACCUACUAAUCUUGACAUCCUGAGUCUAAGGAAGUUUAUAUAAAGGUGAGGAUCAAAGCUCACAACCUUUGAGCUCUGGAACUCGGUCUAAUUAAUUUUAUUUAGACCUCCGUUGUCAAGACUCCGACAUCACCGGAAGCUGAGUCAUCCUUGUUCUCUGGAUCCUCAGCUCGUGCUCCAGAAUAUCCUUUUGGUACUCUAGAGACCCAUAUACCUCUACGUACCAGGCCUGCACAACUUUGGCUUAGUUGUUUCCUCUACUCCGGUUUCUCCGACGAGAAACAUUGUUGCUCCCCUCCGAUACCUCCACGGAAGGGCUCUGAUUCUGUAUCCCUGGUCUAGCUCCUCCUCUAGAUCAAAUACAGUUAUCCUGUUCUCGACUGCGGUGCAAUUUAAUGAACUAUAGGCUACAAACCUCUGGACAAAUCAACAUUUUCACGGUUGAGUCCUGUAUAAACUGCCUACCUGAAAUAUAUACAUAAGAUUUAAUCAGUGCAAAUAGAGGUGAGCCGAAGAGAAAGAGUUCAUGCUCGCUCUUAUGUUUGUAGUUAUUACCUGGUCUCCUAUAGGUAAAAAUGAGCACAGAAGGUGGUGUAAUAAUCAAAAUUAUUGUUAAAGCAUUGAAAGAAAAACCGUGGAAUAUUUUGAUU
This is a long non-coding RNA of Eurytemora carolleeae, 1069 nucleotides long. RefSeq lists it as uncharacterized. Lineage: Eukaryota; Metazoa; Arthropoda; Copepoda; Calanoida; Temoridae. The transcript has 4 exons. The record is from RefSeq and is a predicted model, not a curated record.